GACGACACAGAGCUGCUCUCCGUUUGGGACGCGCGAUAAGUUCCUGCCAGGAGUUUUCCCUCCUUGUGUUUUGUUAUUUGAACAGCAGCUGUUUAUCAGGCAUGCACACCGGAGGAAAAUCCCCUUUGGAUUCUGGCUUCAGCACAUCUUGUGUGAAAAUCUACCUGUGCUCCAACCCAGAAGACAGCGUGGUGGAGCGUAGAGCUCUGAGGGACAGUGUGUUCCCCAGAUUCAGAGAGCACUGCAGACACUCGCUGGCACUGGAUGUCAGGGUGAUAGACCCGUUUGAAUCCAGUGAUCCCAGUCGCUGGCCAGAUGAAGACACCAGGCAUCAGAUGAUACAUGAAUGCAGAGGAAGCUCAGCUGGACCUUUUUUACUGGUAAAUAAAGUCCUUGGGGAGAAUCUCAAGUGUAAACCAACAGGAUCUCAGACUGACCCUUACUUCUCAGUACAAUGAAUGAUGACAUGCUCUAAAGGACAUCAGCACCUUGCCAUGAGUUGUAGUCAAAGUUUUAUUGUUGAAUUUUAUCAGUUUUUAGUAUUAUGAACUUUAAAAAUAAAAGCUUUUCACCCUUUCUGGAGUAUGCUGGACUUUGCAAAGUCAUCUACACUGUGCUAUGUUUGUUCUCCUUUUUAAAUUAAACUUAUCAUCACGGCUGCAGAACAGUUCUGUCAUUGAGCCGUGUCAACAAAUGGACAAAAUAAUAGAAACACUUUCCAAU
Molecule: long non-coding RNA, 723 nt
Organism: Astatotilapia calliptera (eastern happy)
Lineage: Eukaryota; Metazoa; Chordata; Actinopteri; Cichliformes; Cichlidae
Source: Ensembl